RNAcentral lists this long non-coding RNA (1031 nucleotides) under Nicotiana benthamiana. RNAcentral's name for it is "long non-coding RNA (NBEN_LNC031789)". The record is from RNAcentral. Lineage: Eukaryota; Viridiplantae; Streptophyta; Magnoliopsida; Solanales; Solanaceae.
UUUCUCAAAUCUUUGUUCGCUUUGUCCUCGUAUAUUCAUAUCUUCACCAAAUCCAAACCCUAGGAGAGUUAUCACAGUUGACAGUCUUUCACUUGCCCCUAAUAGGAGUAGAAACGGAGGAAGUAGACAACGUAAUUUAAGGUUUUCAUCAAAUUCUGGCCCUUCAUCUAGAACCAGAGGUUCAAUUUUACAUAGAUCUUCAUCUAGAGGUAAGGAAUCCUCUGAGCCUCUUCGUGAACCUCUAGAAGAGGAGAUAGUUCCUGCAGAAUUAUCUUUUUAUAAUGAUAGAGAGUCUCUUAGAAAUCAAGUAUCUUCUUUAGAUCAUUCUGAUAUUUAUCCCAUUCAAAUCACUGAAGGAUUGAUUUCUUUAGUUCGUAAAGACUGCCAUUGGGAUUACCACUUUCCUAUCAUUAUUCCCAAUCUGAAUCAAAGAAUUACCUCCUACUUAACUGGAUUUUCUUUUGUCUAUAAGUACCCUUUUACUUUAGGAUUCAAACAUGUUAUUGAUCAUGUUAUUCCAGAGUUUUGUCGUUUCUUUGAUGUUUACUUAGGUCAAACUGGCCCAAUAAUAUGGAGGGUUGUUGCCUGUUUGAGGCAUUUGACCAACAUAGUCGGUGUGCCUUUUACUUUCCCGCAUUUGGUUAACCUUUACUCUCCUAGACUCUUUUGCUAUGGUAUUUUCACACUAGUAGCCAAUAGCAAAAGAGUUUCAGUUAGUCCUGAAGAUGACAAAGACAGUGGCUGGUAUGCCAGGUUUGUUGUUGCCCCCACUGUUGGUUUAGUGGGCGAUGGGAACGUUUCCUUCCCUGAGAAAUAAAAUUUUGCACAUGAGUAUCUAACUCUCUCUUACCUUUUUCUUUAAUUUUGUUAAUUUUUCUAAUUUUACUUUCUUUUCCAGCAAAUAUGUGAGUUAUGGAAGAUAUUCCCAAUUUCCAUGAUUGGGCAGGAAAGCUUGUGACUACAGCUCCAAUGGAGGGUAGAUCUUGGAAAACCAUUUUCCAACGAUUUGGUUGGAAAGUAAAAACUCAUGG